RNAcentral lists this unclassified non-coding RNA (1202 nucleotides) under uncultured fungus. RNAcentral's name for it is "sequence contains 18S rRNA gene, ITS1, 5.8S rRNA gene, ITS2, 28S rRNA gene". The stretch from base 351 to 1202 matches the Rfam family "Eukaryotic large subunit ribosomal RNA", at positions 1 to 961 of the family's 3401-position model. Lineage: Eukaryota; Fungi. The record is from RNAcentral.
GGAAGGAUCAUUAUUGCACUGUAACAAGUCUGUUAUGUGAGUAUUGGAUAAUGUUUUUUCGAAGUAUUGUUUCUGGUUUAAUAUUUUAUCAAUCAUGAGUCCAAGCAAUGGAUAUCUUGGUUCCCACAACGAUGAAGAACGCAGCGAAAUGCGAUACGUAAUGUGAAUUGCAGGGUUAAGUGAAUCAUCAAAUGUUUGAACGCAAGUUGCGCCGCUUCGGCGGCAUGCUUCUUUGAGUGUCGGUUUCCUUGUUGGGCGAUUUUGUAUAAAAUUGUCUUGGUCUAUUUCUUCGCGUCGGUUGAAAGACAGGGCGUUCAGAAACCUUCGUUCUGCCAAGAACGUUAAACAACAGACCUCAAAUGAAGUAAGACUACCCGCUGAAUUUAAGCAUAUAAUUAAGCGGAGGAAAAGAAACUAACGAGGAUUCCCUCAGUAACGGCGAGUGAAGCGGGAAGAGUUCAAACCUGGAAUCGCGUAGCAACGCGAAUUGUGGUGUGUAAACGCGUGCCUCAGCGGCUGUGCCGGUGGAAGUCGAUUGGAAAAUCGCAUCAGAGAGGGUGAAAAUCCCGUUCGACACUGGACCUGCAGUCGCGUUCGAGCCGUCGUUUUCGAGUCGGGUUGCUUGGGAGUGCAGCCCUAAGUGGGUGGUAAAUUCCAUCUAAAACUAAAUAUGUGUGGGAGACCGAUAGCGAACAAGUACCGUGAGGGAAAGAUGAAAAGAACUUUGAAAAGAGAGUAAAAAGUACUUGAAAUUGUUUGGAUUGAAGGGAUGACGCUCAGUCGGUCAGGAUGGCUUGGCGGCGGGCUUGUUGCGCGUCGGGGUAGGUAGGUCGGCUCUUGCAGGCGAGUGUUUUAGCCCGGUGCGCAAAGUCUGGCGGCGAGCGAGGUCGCGGAUAGAUCCUGACGAAAUGGGCGUCAUUCACCCGUCUUGAAACACGGACCAAGGAGUCUUACAUGUCUGCGAGUGUUAGCGUGCAGAAGCGUUAUCGCGCAAUGAAAGUGAAUUCGUUCAAACGAGGGCGACUACGGUACGACCCCGAGCAUACAUGCAGGGACCCGAAAGAUGGUGAACUAUGCCUGGGCAGGAUGAAGCCAGGGGAAACUCUGGUGGAGGUCCGAAGCGAUACUGACGUGCAAAUCGUUCGUGUGAGCUGGGUAUAGGGGCGAAAGACUAAUCGAACCGUCUGGUAGCUGGUUCCCUC